RNAcentral lists this ribosomal RNA (556 nucleotides) under uncultured bacterium. RNAcentral describes it as "bacterial SSU rRNA". It matches the Rfam family "Bacterial small subunit ribosomal RNA", at positions 777 to 1328 of the family's 1533-position model. The record is from RNAcentral.
AAUAGAUACCCGGGUAGUCCACGCCGUAAACGAUGAGUGCUAAGUGUUAGGGGGUUUCCGCCCCUUAGUGCUGCAGCUAACGCAUUAAGCACUCCGCCUGGGGAGUACGGUCGCAAGACUGAAACUCAAAGGAAUUGACGGGGGCCCGCACAAGCGGUGGAGCAUGUGGUUUAAUUCGAAGCAACGCGAAGAACCUUACCAGGUCUUGACAUCCCAUUGACCACUAUGGAGACAUAGUUUUCCCUUCGGGGACAACGGUGACAGGUGGUGCAUGGUUGUCGUCAGCUCGUGUCGUGAGAUGUUGGGUUAAGUCCCGCAACGAGCGCAACCCUUGUUCUUAGUUGCCAUCAUUUAGUUGGGCACUCUAAGGAGACUGCCGGUGACAAACCGGAGGAAGUGGGGAUGACGUCAAAUCAUCAUGCCCCUUAUGACCUGGGCUACACACGUGCUACAAUGGACGGUACAAACGGUUGCCAACCCGGCGAGGGGGAGCCUAAUCCGGAUAAAACCGGUUCUCAGUUCGGAUUGUAGGCUGCAACUCGCCUACAUGAAGCCG